UUAAGUUCUUUGAGGACAGGGA
RNAcentral lists this microRNA (22 nucleotides) under Ornithorhynchus anatinus (platypus). RNAcentral's name for it is "Oan-Novel-11_3p* (star (passenger))". The record is from RNAcentral. Lineage: Eukaryota; Metazoa; Chordata; Mammalia; Monotremata; Ornithorhynchidae.